RNAcentral lists this ribosomal RNA (354 nucleotides) under uncultured Coriobacteriales bacterium. RNAcentral's name for it is "bacterial SSU rRNA". It matches the Rfam family "Bacterial small subunit ribosomal RNA", at positions 1 to 339 of the family's 1533-position model. The record is from RNAcentral. Lineage: Bacteria; Bacillati; Actinomycetota; Coriobacteriia; Coriobacteriales.
AGUAGUUUGAUCAUGGCUCGAGGACGAACGCUGGCGGCGUGCUUAACACAUGCAAGUCGAACGGGGAUACAUUGGAUGAGAGCUUCGGCAGGAAUCCGGUGUAUUCCAGUGGCGGACGGGUGAGUAACGCGUGAGCAAUCUGUCCCGGACAGGGGGAUAACACUUGGAAACAGGUGCUAAUACCGCAUAAGACCACAGUAGGACAUCCUACAGAGGUAAAAGGUGCAAACCGGUUUGGGGUGAGCUCGCGUCCGAUUAGAUAGUUGGUGAGGUAACGGCCCACCAAGUCGACGAUCGGUAGCCGACCUGAGAGGGUGAUCGGCCACAUUGGAACUGAGAGACGGCCCAGACUCC